This 510-nucleotide ribosomal RNA is filed under the name Triticum aestivum (bread wheat). RNAcentral describes it as "partial small subunit ribosomal RNA". The record is from RNAcentral. Lineage: Eukaryota; Viridiplantae; Streptophyta; Magnoliopsida; Poales; Poaceae.
AUGAAGAUUUUUCACAAGUUAUACCUUGUUGCAGCAGCAGAUCAUCUGCUUCACUCCAAGAGUGAAAGCAAGGAGGGCAUGCUCACGUGUCUGGCCGUCCUUGGAGAUACCAGCCUCAAAACCACCAGUGGUGGAGUCGAUGAUGAGAACAGCACAGUCAUACUUGGUGGUCUCAAACUUCCAGAGAGCAAUAUCGAUGGUGAUACCUCUCUCACGCUCGGCCUUGAGCUUGUCAAGCACCCACGCGUACUUGAAAGACCUCUUGUUCAUCUCAGCGGCUUCCUUCUCGAACCUCUCGAUGACACGCUUGUCAAUGCCUCCAAGCUUGUAGAUCAGGUGGCCAGUGGUCGUCGACUUGCCAGAGUCGACGUGGCCAAUGACCACGAUGUUGAUGUGAGUCUUCUCCUUACCCAUGGCUGGUGGGUAGAGCUAAACUACCCAACUGCGACACAUAAAAAAAUUAUUAAAACCAACGGACGCAGGGAAUCAUCAUGUGAACAAGUGACAUAA